Molecule: long non-coding RNA, 1485 nt
Organism: Symsagittifera roscoffensis
Lineage: Eukaryota; Metazoa; Xenacoelomorpha; Acoela; Convolutidae
Exons: 2
Source: RefSeq, a predicted model, not a curated record
CGAUCAUUGUUUUGUUUUUAGAAUAUGCCUUCGGUUAUAUGUCUUCUGAUUCCUCAUGUUCGUCUAACUUAAUCUUUGCAUGACGUCAACAGCCAAAAUGUGUAAGCAACAGCGACAACAUAAAUAUCCUAAAGAUGAGAUACGGAAAAUUGUGAGAGAAAUGUACAUCUUGGUUUAAGAGGGUUGAAUUUUAGCUGAUCUUCAGAGGCGCAAGACUAAACAAUUAGUAUAACUGAAACAGUUUGUGAUUGUGAGCCAUGUCUGAAGGACCAAGUUAUUUUACACCAAGUUUUAUUUACCUGAUUAGGCAUAAUGUUUACAAAAAAUCGGACCCUUUUGCGCCUGAUAACAUUACUGUACUCAACAAUAGCGUCUUGGAGUUUGAAGCCCAGUUACCGAGUAUCUUAGAAAGAAAGUACGUGGCUAUUGUCAUUAAUUUAGAAAAUCCGCAAGCAUGCUUGAAUUAUUUGCGAAAUCAUCUACAACUGAGUCAGACAUACCUUCUAAUUAUCGUUUUUAACUCGCAAGCAACAGAAGAUCCAAUGUUUCGCUGGAAUGCCGCUGAGCUGGGUGCGCAUAUGGUUACUAAUUGCUUUUCAUCUAUGUGUUCUGCGCUGACUAUUUGCAUGUACCGAAAACAAGGACCUUAUUCCUGUCCUUAUUGUGAAGCAAUGAGCUUCGAAGAACAUGAACUGCGAGAACAUGUCUCUUUAUUCCACGAAUCUUUUCAACAGUGCUUGUGCUGUACUUGUCCAAUCUGUAAAAAGACAUCAAGAAACUUUUUCUCUCAUAUAUUCCAUGAGCAUGGCGACGGAAGCACCGAGGAGCGCACGGGCUGGUUUUCAAUCUGUAUUGUACAGAGACGGAGUGAUAAAGCCUUCUUAAUGGUCCAGGAAAGAGCGGGUGCUGGUUUUUGGGUUCCUGGUGGAGGCAUUAACCCAGGAGAGUCGUUCCUCAAAGGAGCCUUCAGAGAAACUUUGGAGGAAGCUGGUGUUUUUAUUGACGUGAAGGGAGUUCUCCAGUUUGAGAGUGCUUCACAUGGCAAAUGGAAACGAGUGGUUUUCUACGCUGAGCCAAAAGACGAGAAUCAGAUCCCGAAGACAUUGCCCGAUUUUGAGAGCAAUGGUGCAUGUUGGGUCAAAUAUGAGCAGCUUAAGAGCAUCAAACUGCGCUGUGCGGCCGAACCUAUGCAGUUUUUUAAAUUCAUCCUAGAUGGCGGACAACCAGGCCCACUAGAAGUCCCCCCAAGUGAAACUCGCUUUUACAACCAAGAGCCCUCGUUGACUUGAGUUGACGUGCUAGUUCAACCAACCAACCAAUGCUAUGUUACGCUAUUUGAAGUGCUGCUCUGACUUGCCUUUCAUAUCUAUUUAUUGUUUUUAGAGUUAAUAGCUGAGUAGCUUUUUCAUAGUUAUAUUGUAGAAAAUAUAUUGUUAUACUCGCUAUAAUCAUAGAUUAUAUCAUGAAUAAAAGUUAAUGCUAAAA